GACGAACGCUGGCGGCGUGCUUAACACAUGCAAGUCGAACGGAAAGGCCCUGCUUUUGUGGGGUGCUCGAGUGGCGAACAGGUGUGUAAAACGUGAGUAACCUGCCCUUGACAUUGGGAUAUCUUCAGGAGAAAGGGGCUAAUACCGCGUAGGCGCUCCUGCUGCAUGGUGGGUGUGGGAGGAUUGCGGCGGUUGGGGAUGUGCUCGCGGCUUAUCAGCUUGUUGGGGGGGUAGGGGCUUACCAAGGCUUUGACGGGUAGCCGGCCUGAGAGGGUGACCGGCCACAUUGGGACUGAGAUACGGCCCAGACUCCUACGGGAGGCAGCAGUGGGGAAUAUUGCACAAUGGGCGGAAGCCUGAUGCAGCAACGCCGCGUGCGGGAUGACGGCCUUCGGGUUGUAAACCGCUUUCGCCUGUGACGAAGCGUGAGUGACGGUAAUGGGUAAAGAAGCACCGGCUAACUACGUG
RNAcentral lists this ribosomal RNA (468 nucleotides) under uncultured bacterium. RNAcentral describes it as "partial 16S ribosomal RNA". It matches the Rfam family "Bacterial small subunit ribosomal RNA", at positions 28 to 507 of the family's 1533-position model. The record is from RNAcentral.